This 253-nucleotide ribosomal RNA is filed under the name uncultured bacterium. RNAcentral describes it as "partial 16S ribosomal RNA". It matches the Rfam family "Bacterial small subunit ribosomal RNA", at positions 524 to 776 of the family's 1533-position model. The record is from RNAcentral.
UACGUAUGUGGCGAGCAUUGUUCGGAAUUACUGGGCAUAAAGGGUUCGUAGGCGGAUUCGUCAGUUGGGUGUGAAAUCCCGGGGCUUACCCCCGGAACUGCAUUCAAUACUGCGAAUCUGGAGUCCUUCAGGGGUAAGUGGAAUUCCAUGUGUAGCGGUGAAAUGCGUAGAUAUAUGGGAGAACGCCAAUGGCGAAGGCAGCUUACUGGGGAGUGACUGACGCUGAGGAACGAAAGUUAGGGGAUCGAACGGG